ACACAGCUUCCAGAACUGUUGAGCUCCCUCCCUCCCUGCAACCAACUGAAGCUGCCUCUACGCCUUCCAUACCUAGCUUCUGUCUGCAGACACUGUCCUGAAAACUGCCCACAUGGCCAGAGGACCUGCCUCUGUGUCUGCUCCCAGACCCCAGCCUCCCGCCUCCCUGCCAAGGAGCCUCCUGGCUCCAGGGCUAUUAAGGGAGGGACCUGUGGGAAGCCCCAGGCAGACAAAGUCCAUGCUGAGGAGCUGGGGCCGGCGCCGGUCCCUCCCCGGCUCGGUGGGCUGGCUCCGAGAGAAGCCCGGAGUGCGGAGCGGGUGAGGUUGACAAGAGACUUAAUGAAAUCCAGAGGGAGGCGCCCUGGCAGGGCCCACCUGGACGGAAGCCCGGGACGUUGGGCCCGGACAAAUCAGGUGUCCAGAACAUGAGGACUCUCAGGCCCCACGGUGUGGCCGCUGACACGCUGUUCCGGCCAUCGCAGCCGUUGCUCCGUCACCCUUGAGCCGCGUCUCAUGGAUCUCCGGGCCUCCAGCGCUGACACCUGCUGCGUCUUGGCGGCCAUCGCAGGCGAAGAAUUGUGACCCGGAGCGCAGACAAAAGGGCUUCAUGAAGACAGUCUGGCGGGCUGGACGGUUGGCCCUGCUGCCUGACAGUAAUGGAGCUCCAUCCCUAGAGGAGAGCAAGCGUGAGCAAACCUUUCGCUGAGCAUUUACUGAGCACCUCCUGUGUACCAGGGCCCAGGAAGCACCGUGGACACGCUCAUGCUCGGGACAUAUGUGGGCCCUACCCUUGAGGGCUCACUAUCUGGACUGUUUCAGAAACAGCAGGUGAGGUCUAAGCAGAGGAAGAUGAAGGAGAACUGGCCAGAUGGGAGGGGGGAAGGGUUGCUUUCCUGACAGAGGGAACAGCGUACAGAGGGCUCAGGGGCCAGAGAGAGAAGGGACUUCAGGAGUAUAGAGUCUGAGCACAGAGGGGAGGCUGGAGGGGGGUGGAUAGUAAGCUGUUGUUCAGUCACUCAGUCGUGUCCGACUCUCUGCGACCCCACGGACUGCAGCAUGCCAGGCCUCCCUGUCCAUCACCAACUCCCGGAGCUUGCUCA
This 1100-nucleotide long non-coding RNA is filed under the name Bos indicus x Bos taurus (hybrid cattle). Its description in RNAcentral is "lncRNA (ENSBIXG00005027816.1)". The record is from RNAcentral. Lineage: Eukaryota; Metazoa; Chordata; Mammalia; Artiodactyla; Bovidae.